UGGCUCACGAUGAACGCUAGCGGCAGGCCUAACACAUGCAAGUCGAGGGGCAGCGGGGAGUAGCAAUACUCUGCCGGCGACCGGCGAAAGGGUGCGUAACGCGUGAGCAACUUGCCCGUAUCAGGGGGAUAACCGGUGGAAACGCCGACUAAUAUCCCAUAACAACAGACGGAGCAUUCCGUUUGUUUGAAAGCUGAGGCGGAUACGGAUAGGCUCGCGAGACAUUAGCUAGUUGGAGUGGUAACGGCACACCAAGGCGACGAUGUCUAGGGGUUCUGAGAGGAAGGUCCCCCACAUUGGAACUGAGACACGGUCCAAACUCCUACGGGAGGCAGCAGUGAGGAAUAUUGGUCAAUGGGCGGAAGCCUGAACCAGCCAUGCCGCGUGAAGGAAUAAGGCCCUAUGGGUCGUAAACUUCUUUUGUAGUGGAGCAAUAAGGUCUACGCGUAGACCGACGAGAGUACAUUACGAAUAAGCAUCGGCUAACUCCGUGCCAGCAGCCGCGGUAAUACGGAGGAUGCAAGCGUUAUCCGGAUUUAUUGGGUUUAAAGGGUGCGUAGGCUGUUGCUCAAGUCAGCGGUGAAAGCCCGGGGCUCAACCCCGGAUGUGCCGUUGAUACUGAGUGGCUGGAAUACGGAUGCCGUGGGAGGAAUGAGUAGUGUAGCGGUGAAAUGCAUAGAUAUUACUCAGAACACCGAUUGCGAAGGCAUCUCACGAAUCCGUCAUUGACGCUGAGGCACGAAAGCGUGGGGAUCAAACAGGAUUAGAUACCCUGGUAGUCCCCGCAGUAAACGAUGAUGACUAACCGUUGGCGAUAUACAGUCAGUGGCCAAGCGAAAGCGAUAAGUCAUCCACCUGGGGAGUACGUUCGCAAGAAUGCAACUCAAAGGAAUUGACGGA
Molecule: ribosomal RNA, 900 nt
Filed under: uncultured Bacteroidota bacterium
Lineage: Bacteria; Pseudomonadati; Bacteroidota
Description: bacterial SSU rRNA
Rfam family: Bacterial small subunit ribosomal RNA
Source: RNAcentral